This is a long non-coding RNA of Gallus gallus (chicken), 1742 nucleotides long. The record is from Ensembl. Lineage: Eukaryota; Metazoa; Chordata; Aves; Galliformes; Phasianidae.
CUCAAAUCCGCCCUGUGGGAGAGGUGGUAACGAGCCACGCUGCUGGGAAGCUGAAUUCUCAGAAAAGGCAAGAAGUUCUGGGUGUUUCACUUGUGUUGCUGCUGCCCAAGGGGGAUUUCCAUCCUGCCUCUGUGGACUAUUCUUCACUUCAGUGUGCAAAAAGUAACUGACUUCUAACCAAGUACAAUAUAGCUGAUGUGCGAGCAUGCUUCUUCCUCUUAGGUUUCUGCAGCAGCUGGGGCCCCAUAGCUUGCUGUUUGGGGCUCCUGGGCCACUGCUGAACAGCAAGCACUAGGAGCUCAGGGAAGUUGUUUUUCACUCAGGUUGGACAUUUUUGGUAGAAGGAUGUACCCUGAGAAUUGUACAGCUGCAAUUGCUUGCCAAACUCAAGGGAGACAGGGAAAGAGGAAGGAGAGAGAGCGUGUGCUAAGAUGUGAUUGUCUCGAGUUUGUUUUUGCAGCCAUGACAGCUUGCCUUCCCUGAGCUGCUUUCUAGUUCGGAACAUGAGCUAAGGCUGGAUCCCGCUUCGAACAGAGCUUCUUCAAGAGAACAAAGAAGUGGGGUUGUCCAGGUCCUUCGCAGAAGGGAAAGCUGUGCCAGAACCCCCAGCCUGACACCGACAGCCCGGGUCAUGCCAGCUUGGUGCAGUAUUUUGGACCGCAGCCUUCGUGUGUUAAUCUCCAACUAGAAGAGCUUGUGAGCAAAGCACGACUGUAAUUUUACACCCAGUGUUGCACGUAUUUGAUAGCAGGAUUUAAAUGCUGAUAGACUGAUGUUUCACCAUAUGUGACUGUGAGAUGCUGAGAUGGCAACCCUGAACUUGCAGGCAGCUUGCUAGGCCAAGCAACCAGCUCUGAGAGGCAAAAAUUGCCUCCUUUCAUCACGGUCCCGGCGUGUUCAAAGCAGAAGUCUGACUCCUGAUAGCAGUGUCUGGCUGGAGGAAAAGCACCUGAGGCAGAGCUGUGGGCUAAAGACAGUUCUUUCUGAGAAGCUCCAUCCAUUGUCUGCUGAAAUGCUGCUCAGUGUCUGGGGACCAUCUGUCCUCAGAGCGCUUCACAUGCAAAUCAAGCGAGCUUCCCCCUGUGCGUGCCGUUCCUGCCAGGUGUCUGUGCUAUCGGCCCUCGGAAACAAAAAGACUAAGAGACUCUGCGGUCUGCCCGAGCACUCUGUGUGGGUACCUCGCUCUCCUCUCAUCCAGGAAGCUGAUCCCAAACCAUCCUUCAGCAAUCUGCAGAGGUUUCACGCUUCUCACCCUCCUUCUGAGCAGUAGCCGGCCGACUUCUCUGGUCCUCAGACUCCUCGUUUUGCAGAACAGGGCACAAUGGAUCUGCAUUUGAUUUCCAGCAUCCUUUGCCCUGCCAGGCCCCACAAAGAGGGAGCAUCAUCUGUGUUACAGCUGUGCUUUUCUUGGCCUUUUUUUUUUUCACCCCCCCCUCUCAAACUGCUCUUGUGCUGCUUGAACAGGGUGUUUGUUUAUCCCUGUCCUCAGCCCACAGGAGGUGCCUGUGUCUUUCUAAGGACAAGCAACAGAGCUUCCUCAGGAGCAGUAACGCUGCCCGUGGUCUCAAGCUGCCAGCAGGUACCCAGAGGACACCGUCACCUGCCUGCAUCUCCGUGAGCCACACAAGAAGCAAGGCCUGGGGUCAGAGCGAGCAGUCAGCGUGUGGGCACUCGGCUGAGAGGGGCUGCGGACUGCUUCCCCCCAGCACGGCUCCCUCUGAAGCAGAUUAAACUUUGAAGGU